Molecule: ribosomal RNA, 460 nt
Filed under: Magallana bilineata (tropical oyster)
Lineage: Eukaryota; Metazoa; Mollusca; Bivalvia; Ostreida; Ostreidae
Description: partial large subunit ribosomal RNA
Rfam family: Bacterial large subunit ribosomal RNA
Source: RNAcentral
AGUGCGAAAUAUUAAUGUAAACGGCCGCCCUAGCGUGAGGGUGCUAAGGUAGCGAAAUUCCUUGCCUUUUGAUUGUAGGCCUGCAUGAAUGGUUUAACGAGGGUUUAGCUGUCUCUAAAUUUUUAAUUGAAAUUGUAUUGAAGGUGAAGAUACCUUCAUUUAAAAGUUAGACAAAAAGACCCCGUGCAACUUUGAAAAUUAACUUUAUUCAGGGGUAAAAGAUUUUUAGGUGGGGCGCCUAGAAAGUAAGCCUAACCUUUCUGAGUAAGAGUUUCUUUCAGGAGUUGACCCGAUUAUAUUCGAUCAUAGGAGAAGUUACGCCGGGGAUAACAGGCUAAUCCUUUAGUAGAGCUCGUAUUGGCUAAAGGGAUUGGCACCUCGAUGUUGAAUCAAGGAUGAUAGCUUCAAGGCGUAAAGGCUUUGAGAGUAGGUCUGUUCGACCUUUAAUACCCUACGUGAU